RNAcentral lists this ribosomal RNA (1134 nucleotides) under human gut metagenome. RNAcentral describes it as "bacterial LSU rRNA". It matches the Rfam family "Bacterial large subunit ribosomal RNA", at positions 1289 to 2499 of the family's 2925-position model. The record is from RNAcentral.
UGAGAAUGCCGGAAUGAGUAGCGAGAAUUAUGUGAGAAUCAUAAUGGCCGAAAGACUGAGGUUUUAGAAGGAAGGUUCGUCCGCUUCUAGUUAGCCGGGAGCUAAGGCGAGGCCGAGAGGCGUAGUCGAUGCACAUACGGUUGAGAUUCCGUAGCCACCUUAAAUUUAAACUGAGGGACACAUCGAAAGGGCAUAACCCGGGCGUUGGUUGACCCGGGCGUAAGGGAACGAAGAUUAGUAGGGAAGUAUGCUUGGACGGUGGCGAGAAAAGCUCAGUGUAUAUAGCUAGGGUGCCCGUACUGCAAACCGACACAGGUAGUCAGGAAGAGAAUUCUAAGGCCAACGGGAGAAGGAUUGUUAAGGAACUCGGCAAAUUGGCCCCGUAACUUCGGAAUAAGGGGUGCUCACGAGAGUGAGCCGCAGUGAAUAGGUCCAGGCAACUGUUUAUCAAAAACACAGCUCUCUGCUAAAUCGUAAGAUGACGUAUAGGGGGUGACACCUGCCCGGUGCUGGAAGGUUAAGAGGAGGGGUGCAAGCUCCGAAUUGAAGCCCCAGUAAACGGCGGCCGUAACUAUAACGGUCCUAAGGUAGCGAAAUUCCUUGUCGGGUAAGUUCCGACCCGCACGAAUGGUGUAACGAUCUGGACGCUGUCUCAACUGCCCACCCGGCGAAAUUGUAGUACCGGUGAAGAUGCCGGUUACCCGCGGCAAGACGGAAAGACCCCAUGGAGCUUCACUGCAGCUUGAUAUUGGGUUUCGGUAUUCUAUUUACAGGAUAGGCGGGAGACAGAGAAACCAGCACGCCAGUGCUGGCGGAGUCGUCCUUGGGAUACCGCUAUUAGAGUAUUGGAAUUCUAACCUGCGGCCUUGAAUCAGGUCGGGGGACAUUGUCAGGUGGGCAGUUUGACUGGGGCGGUCGCCUCCAAAAGAGUAACGGAGGCGUUCAAAGGUUCACUCAGCAUGGACGGAAACCAUGCCCAAGAGUGCAAACGCAGAAGUGAGCCUAACUGCGAGACUGACGGGUCGAGCAGUAACGAAAGUUGGAGUUAGUGAUCCGGUGGUAUGUGAGUGGAAAUGCCAUCGCUCAACGGAUAAAAGCUACCCUGGGGAUAACAGGCUGAUCUCCCCCAAGAGU